This 101-nucleotide microRNA precursor is filed under the name Marmota monax (woodchuck). The record is from RNAcentral. Lineage: Eukaryota; Metazoa; Chordata; Mammalia; Rodentia; Sciuridae.
AGUGGGAUUUCUGGGUCACAUGAUAAAUCUAUGUUUAACCUUUGGAGAAACUAUCACUGUUUUUCAAAGUGACUGUACCAUUUGACGUUCCCACCAGCAGU